This 465-nucleotide ribosomal RNA is filed under the name Vreelandella stevensii. Its description in RNAcentral is "partial 16S ribosomal RNA". It matches the Rfam family "Bacterial small subunit ribosomal RNA", at positions 338 to 795 of the family's 1533-position model. Lineage: Bacteria; Pseudomonadati; Pseudomonadota; Gammaproteobacteria; Oceanospirillales; Halomonadaceae. The record is from RNAcentral.
CCUACGGGAGGCAGCAGUGGGGAAUAUUGGACAAUGGGGGGAACCCUGAUCCAGCCAUGCCGCGUGUGUGAAGAAGGCCCUCGGGUUGUAAAGCACUUUCAGUGAGGAAGAACGCCUUGUGGUUAAUACCCAUCAGCAAAGACAUCACUCACAGAAGAAGCACCGUCUAACUCCGUGCCAGCAGCCGCGGUAAUACGGAGGGUGCGAGCGUUAAUCGGAAUUACUGGGCGUAAAGCGCGCGUAGGUGGCUUGAUAAGCCGGUUGUGAAAGCCCCGGGCUCAACCUGGGAACGGCAUCCGGAACUGUCAAGCUAGAGUGCAGGAGAGGAAGGUAGAAUUCCCGGUGUAGCGGUGAAAUGCGUAGAGAUCGGGAGGAAUACCAGUGGAGAAGGCGGCCUUCUGGACUGAGACUGACACUGAGGUGCGAAAGCGUGGGUAGCAAACAGGAUUAGAUACCCUGGUAGUC